CUACGGGUUGCUGCAGUGGGGAAUAUUGGACAAUGGGGGAAACCCUGAUCCAGCAAUGCCGCGUGUGCGAUGAAGGCCUGCGGGUUGUAAAGCACUUUCGGUGGGGAAGAAAUGCUCAAAUAUAAUACAUUUGAGAGCUGACGUUACCCACAGAAGAAGCACCGGCAAACUCUGUGCCAGCAGCCGCGGUAAUACAGAGGGUGCAAGCGUUAAUCGGAGUUACUGGGCGUAAAGGGCGCGUAGGCUGAUGCUUAAGUCGGUUGUGAAAUCCCUGGGCUUAACCUAGGAAUUGCAGUCGAUACUGGGCGUCUAGAGUAUGGUAGAGGAAAGUGGAAUUUUCGGUGUAGUGGUUAAAUACGUAGAUAUCGAAAAGAACACCAGUGGCGAAGGCGACUUUCUGGACCAAUACUGACGCUGAGGCGCGAAAGCAUGGGGAGCAAACAGGAUUAGAUACCCGCGUAGUC
This 464-nucleotide ribosomal RNA is filed under the name uncultured bacterium. Its description in RNAcentral is "partial 16S ribosomal RNA". It matches the Rfam family "Bacterial small subunit ribosomal RNA", at positions 339 to 795 of the family's 1533-position model. The record is from RNAcentral.